AUGGGGGGAACCCUGACCGAGCAACGCCGCGUGAGUGAAGAAGGUUUUCGGAUCGUAAAGCUCUGUUGUAAGAGAAGAACGAGUGUGAGAGUGGAAAGUUCACACUGUGACGGUAACUUACCAGAAAGGGACGGCUAACUACGUGCCAGCAGCCGCGGUAAUACGUAGGUCCCGAGCGUUGUCCGGAUUUAUUGGGCGUAAAGCGAGCGCAGGCGGUUAGAUAAGUCUGAAGUUAAAGGCUGUGGCUUAACCAUAGUACGCUUUGGAAACUGUUUAACUUGAGUGCAGAAGGGGAGAGUGGAAUUCCAUGUGUAACGGUGAAAUGCGUAGAUAUAUGGAGGAACACCGGUGGCGAAAGCGGCUCUCUGGUCUGUAACUGACGCUGAGGCUCGAAAGCGUGGGGAGCAAACAGGAUUAGAUACCCUGGUAGUCCACGCCGUAAACGAUGAGUGCUAGGUGUUGGUCCUUUCCGGGACUCAGUGCCGCAGCUAACGCAUUA
This 499-nucleotide ribosomal RNA is filed under the name Streptococcus sinensis. Its description in RNAcentral is "bacterial SSU rRNA". It matches the Rfam family "Bacterial small subunit ribosomal RNA", at positions 371 to 862 of the family's 1533-position model. Lineage: Bacteria; Bacillati; Bacillota; Bacilli; Lactobacillales; Streptococcaceae. The record is from RNAcentral.